AUUUAAUAGUGUUACUGUUAGUUUCUAUGAAACUCGACCGUCAAUGACAGUCAGAUAUUGAUCGAUUGCUUGACUCACUGACUGAUUGAUUAGGCUACAUAUUUGUUGACGGAGAAGACGGCACAGUGCUGAAGAAUAAUUUCUAUAAUUAUCACUUCCCUCUCAAUAUAAACAUCACUUAGAUGAACGCUAACUUGAGAAUGUAUUCGUAAACCUGAGUGACGUCAUACCAUAAUGAAUAAUUCGCUGCUAUCCAGCGUUUGAAUUUUAAUUACGGGUCCUGGGUUCAACUCCCGUGACAGCAGCUGGACUUUCCUCACAACACAAACAACUCCACUCCG
Molecule: long non-coding RNA, 341 nt
Organism: Anneissia japonica
Lineage: Eukaryota; Metazoa; Echinodermata; Crinoidea; Comatulida; Comatulidae
Exons: 3
Source: RefSeq, a predicted model, not a curated record